RNAcentral lists this ribosomal RNA (589 nucleotides) under uncultured bacterium. RNAcentral describes it as "partial 16S ribosomal RNA". It matches the Rfam family "Bacterial small subunit ribosomal RNA", at positions 355 to 1375 of the family's 1533-position model. The record is from RNAcentral.
UGGGGAAUUUUGGACAAUGGGCGAAAGCCUGAUCCAGCAAUGCCGCGUGUGUGAAGAAGGCCUUCGGGUUGUAAAGCACUUUUGUCCGGAAAGAAAUCCUUGGCUCUAAUACAGUCGGGGGAUGACGGUACCGGAAGAAUAAGCACCGGCUAACUACGUGCCAGCAGCCGCGGUAAUACGUAGGGUGCAAGCGUUAAUCGGAAUUACUGGGCGUAAAGCGUGCGCAGGCGGUUUGCUAAGACCGAUGUGAAAUCCCCGGGCUCAACCUGGGAACUGCAUUGGUGACUGGCAGGCUAGAGUAUGGCAGAGGGGGGUUAGAAUUCCACGUGUAGCAGUGAAAUGCGUAGAGAUGUGGAGGAAUACCGAUGGCGAAGGCAGCCCCCUGGGCCAAUACUGACGCUCAUGCACGAAAGCGUGGGGAGCAAACAGGAUUUAGAUACCCCUGGUAGUCCACGCCCUAAACGAUGUCAACUAGUUGUUGGGGAUUCAUUUCCUUAGUAAUGUAGCUAACGCGUGAAGUUGACCGCCUGGGGAGUACGGUCGCAAGAUUAAAACUCAAAGGAAUUGACGGGGUCAUAGCUGUUUUCCU